Molecule: regulatory RNA element, 60 nt
Organism: Gemmobacter megaterium
Lineage: Bacteria; Pseudomonadati; Pseudomonadota; Alphaproteobacteria; Rhodobacterales; Paracoccaceae
Rfam family: L2-Alphaproteobacteria ribosomal protein leader
Source: Rfam
GGGGAUCUACGGAGCCCUGUAACCCGGGUCGAAUGACCCGCAGCAGACGGAAGACAGAAA